UAAUUACAUAGGUAUGCCA
This 19-nucleotide small nuclear RNA is filed under the name Arabidopsis thaliana (thale cress). Its description in RNAcentral is "snRNA_18571". The record is from RNAcentral. Lineage: Eukaryota; Viridiplantae; Streptophyta; Magnoliopsida; Brassicales; Brassicaceae.